GGAGACAGAGAGGUAUAGGGCUGGGGUCACAUCUGAGGAGACAGAGAGGUAUAGGGCUGGGGUCACAUCUGAGGAGACAGAGAGGUAUAGGGCUGGGGUCACAUCUGAGGAGACAGAGAGGUAUAGGGCUGGGGUCACAUCUGAGGAGACAGAGAGGUAUAGGGCUGGGGUCACAUCUGAGGAGACAGAGAGGUAUAGGGCUGGGGUCACAUCUGGGGAGACAGAGAGGUAUAGGGCUGGGGUCACAUCUGAGGAGACAGAGAGGUAUAGGGCUGGGGUCACAUCUGGGGAGACACUGUACAUUUCCAUCUCCUCCUCUUCCUCUUUUUUUAUUUAAAAAAAAAAUAUUUUACCUUUAUUUAACUAGGCAAGUCAGUUAAGAACAAAUUAUUAUGUUCAAUGACGGCCUGGGAACAGUGGGUUAACUGCCUGUUCAGGGGCAGAACGACAGAUUUGUACCUUGUCAGCUCGGGGAUUCAAACUUGCAACCUUUCGGUUACUAGUCCAACGCUCUAGCCACUAGGCUACCCUGCCGCCCCAACACACAGAGGGUCUGACAAGGUGUCGUUCUGCAAACGUCCAAGGGGAGACCGGUAUGAGGCUGAACAGUUAAGACAGGACCGUAGAUUUGCAUAUAAUAUUAGUGUAAUAUCUUAAUUGCUAUGCGCUGAACAGUAAUGUCAUGGAAUCAAGGGGUGUGUUAAGUUCGCUUGGACGUUUGCGGCACGACAAGUUCUCCCCAAAAAACGUUCUUGAACCGACAGAUACGUUUGGUCCGUUCGGUGGGUGUGGCUUGAAGCAAUGAGUGACGUAUUUAAGAUGUCACACUAAAAAAAAAAGGGUCAAUGGUGGAAUUUGAACCCAAAACCAACUCCUUCCCGUUUCAGCUGGUCGUUCAGUACAGCUCCGUUUCCGUUCCACUGAACGUCCUAUUAGGGUUAAGUACUGAACACAGACAUGUUUUAAUAGGCAGCUG
Long non-coding RNA from Oncorhynchus keta (chum salmon), 976 nucleotides. RefSeq lists it as uncharacterized. Lineage: Eukaryota; Metazoa; Chordata; Actinopteri; Salmoniformes; Salmonidae. The record is from RefSeq and is a predicted model, not a curated record. The transcript is spliced from 3 exons.